CCAGACUCCUACGGGAGGCAGCAGUGGGGGAUAUUGCACAAUGGGGGGAACCCUGAUGCAGCGACGCCGCGUGGGGGAAGACGGUCUUCGGCAUGUAAACCCCUGUCGUCGGGGAAGAAUCGAGACGGUACCCGACGAAGAAGCUCCGGCUAACUACGUGCCAGCAGCCGCGGUAAUACGUAGGGGGCGAGCGUUUUCCGGAUUCACUGGGUGUAAAGGGAGCGUAGACGGGCAUGCAAGCCAGAGGUGUAAGCCCGCGGGCCAAACCCGGGACUGCGUUUGGAACUGCAGGGCUGGAGUGCGGGAGGGGCAGGCGGAAUUCCUGGUGUAGCGGUGAAAUGCGUAGAUAUCAGGAGGAACACCGGUGGCGAAGGCGGCCUGCUGGGCCGCGACUGACGUUGAGGCUCGAAAGCGUGGGGAGCGAACAGGAUUAGAUACCCCCGUAU
This 446-nucleotide ribosomal RNA is filed under the name uncultured bacterium. Its description in RNAcentral is "bacterial SSU rRNA". It matches the Rfam family "Bacterial small subunit ribosomal RNA", at positions 331 to 793 of the family's 1533-position model. The record is from RNAcentral.